UUAUGGCUCAGGAUGAACGCUAGCGACAGGCUUAACACAUGCAAGUCGAGGGGCAGCAUAAAAGUAGCAAUACUUGGUGGCGACCGGCGCACGGGUGAGUAACGCGUAUGCAACCUACCUAUCAGAGGGGAAUAACCCGGCGAAAGUCGGACUAAUACCGCAUAAAACAGGGACACCGCAUGGUGAUAUUUGUUAAAGAAAUUCGCUGAUAGAUGGGCAUGCGUUCCAUUAGGUAGUUGGUGAGGUAACGGCUCACCAAGCCGACGAUGGAUAGGGGAACUGAGAGGUUGGUCCCCCACACUGGUACUGAGACACGGACCAGACUCCUACGGGAGGCAGCAGUGAGGAAUAUUGGUCAAUGGGCGAGAGCCUGAACCAGCCAAGUCGCGUGAAGGAAGAAGGAUCUAUGGUUCGUAAACUUCUUUUGCAGGGGAAUAAAGUGCAGGACGUGUCCUGUUUUGUAUGUACCCUGAGAAUAAGGAUCGGCUAACUCCGUGCCAGCAGCCGC
RNAcentral lists this ribosomal RNA (508 nucleotides) under uncultured bacterium. RNAcentral describes it as "bacterial SSU rRNA". It matches the Rfam family "Bacterial small subunit ribosomal RNA", at positions 17 to 518 of the family's 1533-position model. The record is from RNAcentral.